CAUGGGCGGCAGCUACACAUGCAGUCGAACGGUAACAGGAAGCAGCUUGCUGCUUUGCUGACGAGUGGCGGACGGGUGAGUAAUGUCUGGGAAACUGCCUGAUGGAGGGGGAUAACUACUGGAAACGGUGGCUAAUACCGCAUAACGUCGCAAGACCAAAGAGGGGGACCUUCGGGCCUCUUGCCAUCAGAUGUGCCCAGAUGGGAUUAGCUUGUUGGUGAGGUAACGGCUCACCAAGGCGACGAUCCCUAGCUGGUCUGAGAGGAUGACCAGCCACACUGGAACUGAGACACGGUCCAGACUCCUACGGGAGGCAGCAGUGGGGAAUAUUGCACAAUGGGCGCAAGCCUGAUGCAGCCAUGCCGCGUGUAUGAAGAAGGCCUUCGGGUUGUAAAGUACUUUCAGCGGGGAGGAAGGUGUUGUGGUUAAUAACCACAGCAAUUGACGUUACCCGCAGAAGAAGCACCGGCUAACUCCGUGCCAGCAGCCGCGGUAAUACGGAGGGUGCAAGCGUUAAUCGGAAUUACUGGGCGUAAAGCGCACGCAGGCGGUCUGUCAAGUCGGAUGUGAAAUCCCCGGGCUCAACCUGGGAACUGCAUUCGAAACUGGCAGGCUUGAGUCUUGUAGAGGGGGGUAGAAUUCCAGGUGUAGCGGUGAAAUGCGUAGAGAUCUGGAGGAAUACCGGUGGCGAAGGCGGCCCCCUGGACAAAGACUGACGCUCAGGUGCGAAAGCGUGGGGAGCAAACAGGAUUAGAUACCCUGGUAGUCCACGCCGUAAACGAUGUCUACUUGGAGGUUGUGCCCUUGAGGCGUGGCUUCCGGAGCUAACGCGUUAAGUAGACCGCCUGGGGAGUACGGCCGCAAGGUUAAAACUCAAAUGAAUUGACGGGGGCCCGCACAAGCGGUGGAGCAUGUGGUUUAAUUCGAUGCAACGCGAAGAACCUUACCUGGUCUUGACAUCCACAGAACUUUUCAGAGAUGGAAAGGUGCCUUCGGGAACUGUGAGACAGGUGCUGCAUGGCUGUCGUCAGCUCGUGUUGUGAAAUGUUGGGUUAAGUCCCGCAACGAGCGCAACCCUUAUCCUUUGUUGCCAGCGGUCAGGCCGGGAACUCAAAGGAGACUGCCAGUGAUAAACUGGAGGAAGGUGGGGAUGACGUCAAGUCAUCAUGGCCCUUACGACCAGGGCUACACACGUGCUACAAUGGCGCAUACAAAGAGAAGCGACCUCGCGAGAGCAAGCGGACCUCAUAAAGUGCGUCGUAGUCCGGAUUGGAGUCUGCAACUCGACUCCAUGAAGUCGGAAUCGCUAGUAAUCGUGGAUCAGAAUGCCACGGUGAAUACGUUCCCGGGCCUUGUACACACCGCCCGUCACACCAUGGGAGUGGGUUGCAAAAGAAGUAGGUAGCUUAACCUUCGGGAGGGCGCUACCACUUGAUAGCA
Molecule: ribosomal RNA, 1440 nt
Filed under: Salmonella enterica subsp. enterica serovar Rissen
Lineage: Bacteria; Pseudomonadati; Pseudomonadota; Gammaproteobacteria; Enterobacterales; Enterobacteriaceae
Description: bacterial SSU rRNA
Rfam family: Bacterial small subunit ribosomal RNA
Source: RNAcentral